AUCGCUUCUCGGCCUUUUGGCUAAGAUCAAGUGUAGAAUUGUUUAGCAUCAUACUAGAUAUACUAGAUAGUACUCAAUAAAAGAUAGCUGCUAUUUUAUGGUGGUUUUUCUAUUCCUCUUAAUCUUU
Molecule: small nuclear RNA, 127 nt
Filed under: Mustela putorius furo (domestic ferret)
Lineage: Eukaryota; Metazoa; Chordata; Mammalia; Carnivora; Mustelidae
Description: U2 spliceosomal RNA
Rfam family: U2 spliceosomal RNA
About the family: U2 is a small nuclear RNA (snRNA) component of the spliceosome (involved in pre-mRNA splicing). Complementary binding between U2 snRNA (in an area lying towards the 5' end but 3' to hairpin I) and the branchpoint sequence (BPS) of the intron results the bulging out of an unpaired adenosine, on the BPS, which initiates a nucleophilic attack at the intronic 5' splice site, thus starting the first of two transesterification reactions that mediate splicing.
Source: Rfam by way of RNAcentral